GUAGGGCGCAAGCGUUGUCCGGAAUUAUUGGGCGUAAAGAGCUCGUAGGCGGUCUGUCACGUCGGAUGUGAAAGCCCGGGGCUUAACCCCGGGUCUGCAUUCGAUACGGGCAGACUAGAGUGUGGUAGGGGAGAUCGGAAUUCCUGGUGUAGCGGUGAAAUGCGCAGAUAUCAGGAGGAACACCGGUGGCGAAGGCGGAUCUCUGGGCCAUUACUGACGCUGAGGAGCGAAAGCGUGGGGAGCGAACAGGAUUAGAUACCCUGGUAGUCCACGCCGUAAACGGUGGGAACUAGGUGUUGGCGACAUUCCACGUCGUCGGUGCCGCAGUAACGCAUUAAGUUCCCCGCCUGGGGAGUACGGCCGCAAGGCUA
This 371-nucleotide ribosomal RNA is filed under the name uncultured bacterium. RNAcentral's name for it is "bacterial SSU rRNA". It matches the Rfam family "Bacterial small subunit ribosomal RNA", at positions 527 to 896 of the family's 1533-position model. The record is from RNAcentral.